RNAcentral lists this ribosomal RNA (496 nucleotides) under uncultured bacterium. RNAcentral's name for it is "partial 16S ribosomal RNA". It matches the Rfam family "Bacterial small subunit ribosomal RNA", at positions 28 to 506 of the family's 1533-position model. The record is from RNAcentral.
GAUGAACGCUGGCGGCGUGCCUAAUACAUGCAAGUCGAGCGAACGGACGAGAAGCUUGCUUCUCUGAUGUUAGCGGCGGACGGGUGAGUAACACGUGGAUAACCUACCUAUAAGACUGGGAUAACUUCGGGAAACCGGAGCUAAUACCGGAUGAUAUUUUGAACCGCAUGGUUCAAAAGUGAAAGACGGUCUCGCUGUCACUCAUAGAUGGAUCCGCGCUGCAUUAGCUAGUUGGUAAGGUAACGGCUUACCAAGGCAACGAUGCAUAGCCGACCUGAGAGGGUGAUCGGCCACACUGGAACUGAGACACGGUCCAGACUCCUACGGGAGGCAGCAGUAGGGAAUCUUCCGCAAUGGGCGAAAGCCUGACGGACCAACGCCGCGUGAGUGAUGAAGGUCUUCGGAUCGUAAAACUCUGUUAUUAGGGAAGAACAUAUGUGUAAGUAACUGUGCACAUCUUGACGGUACCUAAUCAGAAAGCCACGGCUAACUACGU